CCUACGGGGGGCAGCAGUGAGGAAUAUUGGUCAAUGGACGCAAGUCUGAACCAGCCAAGUCGCGUGCGGGAAGACGGCUCUAUGGGUUGUAAACUGCUUUUAUACGGGGGUAAACUGAGUAACGCGUGCCUCAUUGCAAGUACCGUAUGAAUAAGGAUCGGCUAACUCCGUGCCAGCAGCCGCGGUAAUACGGAGGUUCCAGGCGUUAUCCGGAUUUAUUGGGUUUAAAGGGUGCGUAGGCGGUCGGUUAAGUGAGUGGUGAAAGGCCGGGGCUCAACCAUGGAACUGCCGCUGAUACUGGGGGGCUUGAGUGCGUUGGAGGUAGGCGGAAUGCGUGGUGUAGCGGUGAAAUGCGUAGAUAUCAAGCAGAACACCGAUUGCGAAGGCAGCUUACCGAGCCAUUACUGACGCUGAGGCACGAAAGCGUGGGGAGCGAACAGGAUUAGAUACCCUAGUAGUC
RNAcentral lists this ribosomal RNA (460 nucleotides) under uncultured bacterium. RNAcentral describes it as "partial 16S ribosomal RNA". It matches the Rfam family "Bacterial small subunit ribosomal RNA", at positions 338 to 795 of the family's 1533-position model. The record is from RNAcentral.